GGGGCCACAUGGCCACCGUUGUUAAAUCCCUCGGGAGCCUAACGAUGAACCUGCAUGCCAUUAGCUAGUUGGUAGGGUCAAAGCCUACCAAGGCAAUGAUGGCUAGGGGGUCUGAUAGGAUGAUCCCCCACACUGGGACUGAGACACGGCCCACACUCCUACGGGAGGCAGCAGUGAGGAAUCUUGCGCAAUGGGGGCAACCCUGACGCAGCCACGCCGCGUGCUGGAAGACGGCCCUAUGGGUUGUAAACAGCUUUUACUGGGGAAGAACCUGGACCUUUCGAGGACCACUGACGGUACCCAGUGAAUAAGCACCGGCUAACUCCGUGCCAGCAGCCGCGGUAAUACGGAGGGUGCAAGCGUUGUCCGGAAUCAUUGGGUGUAAAGGGUGUGCAGGCGGAAGUCUAAGUCAGAGGUGAAAUCUUGCCGCUUAACGGUAAAAUGGCCUUCGAAACUGGAUUUCUUGAGUUCGGAAGAGGUUGGUGGAAUUCGUGGUGUAGCGGUGAAAUGCAUAGAUAUCACGAAGAACACCGGUGGCGAAGGCGGCCAACUGGUCCGAUACUGACGCUGAGACACGAAAGCGUGGGGAGCGAACAGGAUUAGAUACCCUGGUAGUCCACGCUGUAAACGAUGCAUGCUAGUUGUUG
This 647-nucleotide ribosomal RNA is filed under the name Bacillus sp. SH41-1. RNAcentral describes it as "bacterial SSU rRNA". It matches the Rfam family "Bacterial small subunit ribosomal RNA", at positions 183 to 825 of the family's 1533-position model. The record is from RNAcentral. Lineage: Bacteria; Bacillati; Bacillota; Bacilli; Caryophanales; Bacillaceae.